Molecule: non-coding RNA, 45 nt
Filed under: Schistosoma margrebowiei
Lineage: Eukaryota; Metazoa; Platyhelminthes; Trematoda; Strigeidida; Schistosomatidae
Source: RNAcentral
ACCCAGCUGACGAGUCCCAAACAGGGUGAAACGUGUGUCCUGGAU